Caenorhabditis elegans is the source of this 1521-nucleotide RNA transcript. It is a transcript of the gene named Non-coding transcript of protein-coding gene nhr-114, with no coding region annotated. The transcript has 7 exons. Lineage: Eukaryota; Metazoa; Nematoda; Chromadorea; Rhabditida; Rhabditidae. The record is from RefSeq and is marked reviewed.
GGUCAAAAUGACACCUCAAUCGUCUCCGAGCUCGUCUCGUGAUCACGUUUGUCUCGUUUGUCAAGAUUUCGCUUCUGGCUACCAUUAUGGUGUCCCGUCAUGUGUCGGAUGCAAGACAUUUUUCCGGCGAACAAUUAUGAAGAAACAAAAGUACAUUUGCCAAUUCGAGGGCAAUUGUCCAGUUGAUAAAACUAUCCGCUGUGCCUGCCGAUACUGCCGAUUCGAGAAAUGUUUGAGCGUGGGAAUGGACCGAAACGCCCUCCAACAAAACCGUGACCCUAUCGGAUACACAAAACGUACCAGGCGUCCAAAAAAAGAGCUGAAGACUACCUCGGACUGUUCAAGUGACGAAGGAGCAAGCACCCCACCAUCAGUGUCUCCAUUACAGCUAUCGCCUCCACCAAUCUCGCCACUCCUUUUCCAAGCUGCACCACUGAAACCUCGUCGCUGCAUCCUACAAACUCUUGCCGAACGCGAAAAGUGUGCAAAUGAUCUCCGACUCUCCGAAUAUCUUCCAAUCCGAUCUCUCCACGAGGCUCUAUGCUCAAAGGCUCUGCUGAACGACACGGCUUUUUUGGAAAAGUGGGGACAGCCGAGUGAGAGACAUCAGAUCUUCGAUCUACGAUUCGUCAAUCACGACGACUACCACUAUUGGCACGAGAGAGACUGGUUCUUGUUGACAGAGUAUGCCAAAACAUUCGAUGUUUUUGAGGCGCUCGAUUAUCAAGAUAAGGCCGAACUUGUUCGCCAUGCCGCAAUAACAGUCCCAGUCCUGGUUCAAGUCUGGAACUCCCCGGACUACGGACCAGACACAAUUGUAUUCCCAGAUGGUGCCUACUUCGAUCGUACUCCAGAGCCAACCCGGCCAGCCGGACUCAACAGGAAAAAGUAUCAAAUGUUGGAUCUCGUGCUCAAGCCGUUCCGUGAUCUACAGCUCGACGCAACCGAAUUUGCAGCGUUCAAAGCGGUAACGUUUCUGAAUCCAGACGCUGACAUCUCUCUACCGGCUCGCAAGCUUGUGAACAACGAACGAGUCCGCAUCACCAAGCAGUUAUACGGCUACAUGGCCAUGAAAGACGACGUGGACACGGCAAUCGAAAGGUUGGUGAAAUCACGUUUUUCCUUCCUUUGAUGCAUUCAUCUAUUACUCGCUUGUCGAUCAAAUCAAACAUUGAUAGAUCACAAUUUGAUGUGUCUUGUUGCGGACUAGCUAAAUUCGCACGAUUGGUUCUGAUGGGAACGUCCAUGUCAAAAAUGGCGUGCGAAUCGAAAGAGGCCGUGUGGAUUGCAGACUUUUUCGAGAAUAUCGGCUUCUCGGCGUUUGCCCGGCAACUGUUUUUCGGUGAUACGACGAGCGUUGUUGCUCACAAAUUGUGAAGUGAAUAAAUUUAAAUUUAAUAAAUUAAUUUCCAGAAAUAUUUACACGCUUGAAAAAAAAUCUCAAUGCUAAUCCUAUUUAUAUACGUUUAUUAUUAUUUUUUUUUUUUGGUAUUUUUUUUGCAAUAAAGUUUUAACUUUUUU